This is a non-coding RNA of Macaca mulatta (Rhesus monkey), 1358 nucleotides long. NCBI's taxonomy places the organism in Eukaryota, Metazoa, Chordata, Mammalia, Primates, Cercopithecidae. The record is from RefSeq and is a predicted model, not a curated record.
AUUAUGGGAGCUACAAUUCAAGAUGAGAUUUGGGUGGGGACACAGUCAAACUGUAUCAGUUAGGCAAGAGGAAAUGGCUUUCAUUUUAUUCAGUAGAAUCUUUGUGCUUGACGCCUCCACCUGUCAUAUAAACAGAAAGAUUGUCUUGAUGGAGGAAAGUGAAGGAUCAUACGAAGAGUCCUGAGAUUCUAUGAAGGGAGAAAUUCCUGGCCUUCCUCCAGAUGCCUCAACUCCUCAUCUUUCCCACACCAGAUGCAAUCGGACCACAGCUACAGCAGAGCCCCUAAGGCAGAAGUGCCCAGUCAAGACCUUCCCACUUGAUGUGCAGAAAACGUGAGAGUUAAAAGAGCUGCUCUUCAUGAUGAUUCUACAAGUUAAAAGAGCUAUUCACCAGAUAGCAUUUUGAUGAAAAUGCUUUAUCACCUGGCACAGAUGGAUCAUGGCUGAGAAUCCACUGAAGAGUUCAUUCACCAGAGUCACCAGUAGAAGUCCAAUAAAGCUUUGAAGAUAUCUGAGAUCAAGAGAUCAAGUCGAUUUAUUGUUUGUAAAACAGUGAGGAUUGUUCUGCGGUGGCAUGAAGGUACAUUUUCUGAUAAUGGCCUUUUUUAAGAGUUGCCUUAAUGUGAAUGACAUGAAGCAAGGAAAAAGGCUGUUGGCUUUUCGCUGGUCAUUCCCCAGCCCAUCCCCAGGAUCCAGCUGCAAGAACCAAGGCAAGAGGCCAACCUCCCCAUUCUGGAAUCUGACACUGCAGGAUUUCCAUUUAGGUAGGACCUAUAGGCUCUUCAGAGGUUAUGUAAUUUUGCAACCCUGCAAAAAAAAUGGUUUUCUAGAUGCUAAAGACAUGUACUCCAAGAAGGCACUUUUUCUGAGGCUUGUGGGUGGUGGACAUCAACAAAAACCUGAAAUAAUCAUGAACAGAUGUGAAAUACCCCAGGGUUUCUUAGACUAAUUGGUGAAGUCUGCGCAGAUGGCCUGUAGUUAUACAGAAGGCCUGUUAUCAUGUCUGCCAGCCCAAUCUAUAAAUGCAUGGCAGUGUGAUAUCAGUGGAACCCAUAGUUUGAGGAGGCCUGGAGACUUUUACACUACAUAUAUUAAUAAAACAGAUGAAUAUUUGCUUUUUCCCAUUACUUUACACUGAUGAUAUUGAGUGAACAUUCCCUGAAUUGCCUUAUAACUUAAUGUUACUCAUCAUCGUUUAUACAUUAACUAAACACACUCGAUUGAAUAAUCUUAUACUUGACUUAUUUCUAUUUAUUUUCCUCACUGUUAACAGCUUUCACAUUUUUUUCUGUUGCUCUAACACAUAUAAAGAGUUAUUUAUGAACACACAGUGAAACAAAGAAAACUGCCUAUUAGAG